Molecule: long non-coding RNA, 378 nt
Organism: Molossus molossus (Pallas's mastiff bat)
Lineage: Eukaryota; Metazoa; Chordata; Mammalia; Chiroptera; Molossidae
Exons: 3
Source: RefSeq, a predicted model, not a curated record
UUUGCCUAAAAUUGCUGUAAGCAGUGAAAGAUAUGCCAAGUGGAGAAUGAGGACACAUCCUAGCCCUACUCCAGGCCAGUGGCUGGCCCCUGGAUCACCACACUCAGUCUGAAUGGGGUAAAUAACCAACAUGUUUGCCUGUGGCUAAGAAGUUUCCUGGAAUGUGAGACUUUCAGUGCUCAAACUGGGAAAGUCCUGCCAUGCCUACCUCCACAGAGUUAUUUGGGCAGGAGAAGAACUCCUUCCAGGCUAGAAUAACACAAGAUGUAUAAUACUGCAGUGACCAUUACUAUACACACACAUGGGCAUACCUUUGUGACUGGAUCUGUAGGACAAAUUCAUAGCUGAGAAAUUUCUGACUCAAAGGCUUGCAUAUUU